UACGUAGGGACCGAGCGUUGUCCGGAAUCAUUGGGCGUAAAGAGCGUGUAGGCGGCCACUUAAGUCCUGCGUGAAAUCUUGCGGCUCAACCGCAAGCGGUCGUGGGAAACUGGGUGGCUAGAGUGCGGGAGAGGAGAGUGAAAUUCCUGGUGUAGCGGUGGAAUGCGCAGAUAUCAGGAAGAACACCCGUGGCGAAGGCGGCUCUCUGGAACGCAACUGACGCUGAGACGCGAAAGCGUGGGGAGCAAACAGG
Molecule: ribosomal RNA, 253 nt
Filed under: uncultured bacterium
Lineage: Bacteria
Description: partial 16S ribosomal RNA
Rfam family: Bacterial small subunit ribosomal RNA
Source: RNAcentral